CGAACGGGUGAGUAAUACAUCGGAACGUGUCCGCUCGUGGGGGACGACCAGCCGAAAGGUUGGCUAAUACCGCAUGAGUUCUACGGAAGAAAGAGGGGGACCCGCAAGGGCCUCUCGCGAGCGGAGCGGCCGAUGACUGAUUAGCCUGUUGGUGAGGUAACGGCUCACCAAAGCAACGAUCAGUAGCUGGUCUGAGAGGACGACCAGCCACACUGGGACUGAGACACGGCCCAGACUCCUACGGAAGGCAGCAG
Molecule: ribosomal RNA, 254 nt
Filed under: uncultured bacterium
Lineage: Bacteria
Description: partial 16S ribosomal RNA
Rfam family: Bacterial small subunit ribosomal RNA
Source: RNAcentral